Molecule: small nuclear RNA, 107 nt
Organism: Choloepus hoffmanni (Hoffmann's two-fingered sloth)
Lineage: Eukaryota; Metazoa; Chordata; Mammalia; Pilosa; Megalonychidae
Source: Ensembl
GUGCUUGCUUCCAUGGCAUAUAUACUAAAAUUAGAAUGAUACAGAGAAGAUUAACAUGGCCCCUGCACAAGGAAAACAUGAAAAUUCAUGAAGCAUUCCAUAAAAAG